This is a long non-coding RNA of Notolabrus celidotus (New Zealand spotty), 1060 nucleotides long. RefSeq lists it as uncharacterized. NCBI's taxonomy places the organism in Eukaryota, Metazoa, Chordata, Actinopteri, Labriformes, Labridae. The transcript is spliced from 5 exons. The record is from RefSeq and is a predicted model, not a curated record.
GCAGUCUCCAGAGGGUCCUGAGGGCAAGGAAGCCUCCAAAGUCACAAAACAAUUGGCCACCAGAAGGUCUGAGAGAUGUCAGUGAGGCCUGCUCCACCCAAGGCUGAGGCUAAGCCUAAGAAGGCCAUCGUCAAGAAGGUGGCAGAUGAUAAGGGAGCAAAGGUAAAGAAAGGCGGCACCAAGGCCAAGAAGGACGACGGCCCAGCCAGAAUGGAGAGUCCCAAGACGAAUGAGGUAACUGAGGCAGCUGAGGAGGCGACUGAGGAGAAGGCGUAAAGACAGGAGCGUGUCCACCGACUCGCCCCCCUCUGACUCCAUGGCAGCAAAGCAUCUUUUUUUACUGACGAUUUUUGUACCAUGCUGAAUUUUUUUUAGACUUGUGAUAGUAGAGAUGGACAACCAGCAGCCCCUUCCACCAUAUGUACACUCUCCUUUCAGAAAACUCUACCUACACUAUGUUUUGCUCCAUUCUCCUCCUUCCCCCAUUGGACACAGUUAUAAAACUUUUAGACACUCAAAGAUGGAAUUAUUGUUUUUAUCAGGUGGCUGCAGAUGUUCUUCAUUUUGCCUGUGGGGGGUCGUAAACACGACUGUUAUGACCUUUUAGCCAGCUUGCCUGAAUUUGUUGUCACUACAAAUAAUAACAUUAACUAUUGGCAUGCUGGCUAGCUCCCCCUGAUAUUUAAUGUGAAGAUCUUUGGAUGUGUAACAGAAAGUUUGAGAUUGAACUUUGAACCGAGAUUCAUAAUCUGAGAACAUCUGCAGCUUUUAAAAAGAUAUCAUAGUUUAUAGAUUUACCCCUUCUGUGUUUCACAUAGCUCAUUUUGUAUGUGUGUGCUAGAAUGAAUGUGUUUGUGGGUCUCUGUGUUUGACUUUGUUCCCUCAUGUUCCUUUUAUUUUUUCCACCCCACCUGACCACCUUGUCCUGCAGCAGAGUGACAUAGCAAUAAUGAGUGGUGCUUCUGUUCUAGACGGCUCUAUUAGCUUUGGACCCUCUGGGCUUCUCUGAGUUUCAUCCUGUUGGGAGAAUAUUUUGAAAUAAAAGAAAAAGUUGAUGUCA